This is a non-coding RNA of Acanthosepion pharaonis, 111 nucleotides long. The record is from the annotation of a GenBank genome assembly. NCBI's taxonomy places the organism in Eukaryota, Metazoa, Mollusca, Cephalopoda, Sepiida, Sepiidae.
UAUGACCACAUCACAUUGAAACACCGAUUCCUGCACGAUCAUCGAAAUUAAGCAACGUCGAGCCUGGUCAGUACCUAGAUGGGUGACCACUUCGGAAUAUCAGGUGCUAUA